GGUGGUUCCCGUCAGGAGCAGACUGGGACCGUUGGGAGAGGAGGUGGUUCCCAUCAGGAGCAGACUGGGACCGUUGUGGGAGGAGGUGGUUCCCAUCAGAAGCAGACUGGGACCGUUGGGGAAGGAGGUGGUUCCCGUCAGGAGCAGACUGGGACCGUUGUGGGAGGAGGUGGUUCCCAUCAGGAGCAGACUGGGACCGUUGUGGGAGGAGGUGGUUCCCAUCAGGAGCAGACUGGGACUGUUGGGAGAGGAGGUGGUUCCCAUCAGGAGCAGACUGGGACCAUUGGGAGAGGAGGUGGUUCCCAUCAGGAGCAGACUGGGACCGUUGUGGGAGGAGGUGGUUCCCAUCAGAAGCAGACUGGGACCGUUGGGGAAGGAGGUGGUUCCCGUCAGGAGCAGACUGGGACCGUUGUGGGAGGAGGUGGUUCCCAUCAGGAGCAGACUGGGACCGUUGUGGGAGGAGGUGGUUCCCAUCAGGAGCAGACUGGGACCGUUGGGAGAGGAG
This 505-nucleotide long non-coding RNA is filed under the name Salmo salar (Atlantic salmon). Its description in RNAcentral is "lncRNA (ENSSSAG00000087325.1, ENSSSAG00000094192.1)". Lineage: Eukaryota; Metazoa; Chordata; Actinopteri; Salmoniformes; Salmonidae. The record is from RNAcentral.